UGUAGAACUGUGGGCUGUAGCAUUACUCUGAUUUUCUGUCUGAUGAUGUCAGAGAAUGCUGGUAGUGUAAAGUUUUUUAUUUUAGGACUUAUUUGUACUCUGAAUUUUCAGGAACAGUCAAAGGAGUAGCAGCAAAGACACAAUAUUUUAGACCUGAGAAAUGCCUGAAAUGGGUAUUUUCCAAACUGCUCCCUAUAUGUACAGUUCAGUUUAACCACUGAUUGCCUUGUUAUUUUCUUACUAGGUUCUUUAUGAGACGCUGUUUUUCUGCUCCUUUGCUGUUGUGACCAGGCUGCAUUGACAGAGCAAGUUGGAUGAUACCAUCAGGGGCUCUUGCACUCUCCAUUUGAAUAUUGCAUAAUUAAUAGUGCUCUGCUUCUAAGGAUUUGAAUGGAGUCUUAGGGUCAUCUUGUCCUGUUGGAAUUUGCUAUGC
Molecule: long non-coding RNA, 433 nt
Filed under: Bos taurus (domestic cattle)
Lineage: Eukaryota; Metazoa; Chordata; Mammalia; Artiodactyla; Bovidae
Description: long non-coding RNA NONBTAT011869
Source: RNAcentral